Poecilia latipinna (sailfin molly) is the source of this 888-nucleotide long non-coding RNA. RefSeq lists it as uncharacterized. The transcript has 2 exons. Lineage: Eukaryota; Metazoa; Chordata; Actinopteri; Cyprinodontiformes; Poeciliidae. The record is from RefSeq and is a predicted model, not a curated record.
UAUAAUUGUACCAAAAUACACUUUUAAGAAAUAUAUUAAAUAAAAGUAUACUUUAAGUGAACAAAAUAUGUAUUUACCCAAGUGCAAAUAUACACUUGCUCAAGUGUACAUUUAAAAUAUAUUUUAAAGAUACUUUGUGUAUAGUUUAAAAUAUAUGCUCAAAGUUGAAUUUUUUAAAAUAAAAUUCACUUAACGCUUACUUUAAAUUAUUAAUUUCAGUAUGUUUUAACUUACAUCUCAGUCUAUACUUUAGGCUAAUAAAGUAUGCUUUUUUAGGUGCCUUAAUUUUAUUGUGACUUUUAUGAUUAUUACUAUAACAAUCAUUCAGCUUCAUGUUAUAACUGCAUAAAGGCUUUCUUUGUUGGGACUUAAUAGUUUUCUUUAUAAACUUAACCUGGUUUUAAUUUAGCUCAGUAUGCCAAAGAGAAUUUGAUAUUGCUAGGUUGUUGUUAUAACUUGUUCAUCAUUGUUUUUAUCUUCAACAUAUUUUUGCAGUCUAAGCAAAUGAAGAUGAAAGAGGAAGCCAGAGAAAUCAGGUGUUAGGAAAACUAAAGACUUUCCUGUCUCAGAAGAGGCUCUGGCUCCACCAGAUCAACAACCACCACUGAGGAUGAACCUCCACAUGGUCUUCAUGGGGCCCUGUGAUAGACUGGUGACCUGUCCAGGGUGAACCCCACCUCUCAUCUGAUGACUGCUAGAGAUGGUCACCACCAGCCCCCCUCGCCACCCUGCAAGGAUCAGUGUGUUCAGAUCAUGGAUGGAAAGCUUUUAAGGUAGUUUGUCUCCUUAAGUCCACACUUAAAACAGCUUCAUAGUUAUUGCCAACAUCAACUGACUCUAUGAUAUUGCUGACUAUUUUUUUCUACUUCUAACAUAAACAGGCAAAGA